AGAGUUUGAUCAUGGCUCAGAUUGAACGCUGGCGGCAUGCCUUACACAUGCAAGUCGAACGCGAAAGCGGGGCAACCCGCAAGUAGAGUGGCGAACGGGUGAGUAAUACAUCGGAACGUACCCAGUAGCGGGGGAUAACCUCUCGAAAGAGAGGCUAAUACCGCAUACGACCUACGGGUGAAAGCGGGGGACCGCAAGGCCUCGCACUAUUGGAGCGGCCGAUGUCGGAUUAGCUAGUUGGCGGGGUAACGGCCCACCAAGGCGACGAUCCGUAGCUGGUCUGAGAGGACGACCAGCCACACUGGAACUGAGACACGGUCCAGACUCCUACGGGAGGCAGCAGUGGGGAAUUUUGGACAAUGGGCGCAAGCCUGAUCCAGCCAUGCCGCGUGUGUGAAGAAGGCCUUCGGGUUGUAAAGCUCUUUCGGCUGGGACGAAAAGGUCCGUGACAACACCACGGAUCCAUGACGGUACCAGCAGAAGAAGCACCGGCUAACUACGUGCCAGCAGCCGCGGUAAUACGUAGGGUGCAGGCGUUAAUCGGAAUUACUGGGCGUAAAGCGUGCGCAGGCGGUCUGCUAAGAGAGGUGUGAAAUCCCCGGGCUUAACCUGGGAACUGCGCUUCUAACUGGCAGGCUAGAGUGUGGCAGAGGGGGGUGGAAUUCCACGUGUAGCAGUGAAAUGCGUAGAGAUGUGGAGGAACACCGAUGGCGAAGGCAGCCCCCUGGGCUAACACUGACGCUCAUGCACGAAAGCGUGGGGAGCAAACAGGAUUAGAUACCCCCGUAGUCC
This 792-nucleotide ribosomal RNA is filed under the name uncultured bacterium. RNAcentral describes it as "bacterial SSU rRNA". It matches the Rfam family "Bacterial small subunit ribosomal RNA", at positions 8 to 796 of the family's 1533-position model. The record is from RNAcentral.